UGGGGAAUAUUGCACAAUGGGCGCAAGCCUGAUGCAGCCAUGUCGCGUGUGUGAAGAAGGCCUUCGGGUUGUAAAGUACUUUCAGCGGGGAGGAAGGGAGUAAAGUUAAUACCUUUGCUCAUUGACGUUACCCGCAGAAGAAGCACCGGCUAACUCCGUGCCAGCAGCCGCGGUAAUACGGAGGGUGCAAGCGUUAAUCGGAAUUACUGGGCGUAAAGCGCACGCAGGCGGUUUGUUAAGUCAGAUGUGAAAUCCCCGGGCUCAACCUGGGAACUGCAUCUGAUACUGGCAAGCUUGAGUCUCGUAGAGGGGGGUAGAAUUCCAGGUGUAGCGGUGAAAUGCGUAGAGAUCUGGAGGAAUACCGGUGGCGAAGGCGGCCCCCUGGACGAAGACUGACGCUCAGGUGCGAAAGCGUGGGAGCAAACAGG
Molecule: ribosomal RNA, 428 nt
Filed under: Chloroflexota bacterium
Lineage: Bacteria; Bacillati; Chloroflexota
Description: Chloroflexi bacterium partial 16S ribosomal RNA
Rfam family: Bacterial small subunit ribosomal RNA
Source: RNAcentral